Molecule: ribosomal RNA, 253 nt
Filed under: uncultured bacterium
Lineage: Bacteria
Description: partial 16S ribosomal RNA
Rfam family: Bacterial small subunit ribosomal RNA
Source: RNAcentral
UACAGAGACUGCAAGCGUUAUUCGGAUUCACUGGGCGUAAAGGGUGCGCAGGCGGUUGUGUGUGUCAGGUGUGAAAGCCCGGGGCUUAACCCCGGAAUUGCGCCUGAAACUACAUGACUAGAGCAUUGGAGAGGGUAGCGGAAUUCACGGUGUAGCAGUGAAAUGCGUAGAUAUCGUGAGGAACACCAGAGGCGAAGGCGGCUACCUGGACAAUUGCUGGCGCUCAGGCACGAAAGCGUGGGGAGCAAAAGGG